This is a long non-coding RNA of Sebastes umbrosus (honeycomb rockfish), 146 nucleotides long. RefSeq lists it as uncharacterized. The transcript has 2 exons. The record is from RefSeq and is a predicted model, not a curated record. Lineage: Eukaryota; Metazoa; Chordata; Actinopteri; Perciformes; Sebastidae.
UCCUUCUGAUCGAGGUUCAGCCCGUGGACGGUGUGAGGCCGGUAACGACCCCGAUCGGCGUCUGCCCAGGGGAUUCAACUUGGCGGGUUAGGGACGGCUGCUCGGUGUGGGAGGAUCCCCUCGUGGGACCUCUCCCCGGCGCUGGC